RNAcentral lists this ribosomal RNA (328 nucleotides) under uncultured Bacteroidota bacterium. RNAcentral describes it as "bacterial SSU rRNA". It matches the Rfam family "Bacterial small subunit ribosomal RNA", at positions 561 to 891 of the family's 1533-position model. The record is from RNAcentral. Lineage: Bacteria; Pseudomonadati; Bacteroidota.
UAAAGGGAGCGCAGGCGGACCUUUAAGUCAGCUGUGAAAUACGGCGGCUCAACCGUCGAACUGCAGUUGAUACUGGAGGUCUUGAGUGCACACAGGGAUGCUGGAAUUCAUGGUGUAGCGGUGAAAUGCUCAGAUAUCAUGAAGAACUCCGAUCGCGAAGGCAGGCAUCCGGGGUGCAACUGACGCUGAGGCUCGAAAGUGCGGGUAUCAAACAGGAUUAGAUACCCUGGUAGUCCGCACAGUAAACGAUGAAUACUCGCGGUUUGCGAUACAAUGUAAGCCGCCAAGCGAAAGCGUUAAGUAUUCCACCUGGGGAGUACGCCGGCAA